This 253-nucleotide ribosomal RNA is filed under the name uncultured bacterium. RNAcentral's name for it is "partial 16S ribosomal RNA". It matches the Rfam family "Bacterial small subunit ribosomal RNA", at positions 524 to 776 of the family's 1533-position model. The record is from RNAcentral.
UACGAAGGGGGCUAGCGUUGCUCGGAAUCACUGGGCGUAAAGGGUGCGUAGGCGGAUCUUUAAGUCAGGGGUGAAAUCCCGAGGCUCAACCUCGGAACUGCCUUUGAUACUGGGGAUCUCGAGUCCGGGAGAGGUGAGUGGAACUGCGAGUGUAGAGGUGAAAUUCGUAGAUAUUCGCAAGAACACCAGUGGCGAAGGCGGCUCACUGGCCCGGUACUGACGCUGAGGUGCGAAAGCGUGGGGAGCAAACAGG